This is an RNA transcript of Homo sapiens (human), 4459 nucleotides long. It is a transcript of the gene named ring finger and CHY zinc finger domain containing 1, with no coding region annotated. The transcript has 9 exons. The record is from RefSeq and is marked reviewed. Lineage: Eukaryota; Metazoa; Chordata; Mammalia; Primates; Hominidae.
CUGCCCCGGGUCACGUGCUUAGGAGCCAUAUUGUCGCUAGUGGCCGCUGGGGCUGGGAGGGGUGUGCUAGAGAGGCGCAGCUUCUCUGGGCGUGGUUUUUAUCCUGGGGGAAGGAUCGGUGGAAUGUGAGGGGAGGUGGAGGAGAUGGCGGCGACGGCCCGGGAAGAUGGCGCCAGCGGUCAAGAGCGAGGUCAGCGGGGCUGCGAGCACUAUGACAGAGGAUGUCUCCUAAAGGCACCUUGCUGUGACAAGCUUUAUACUUGCCGCUUGUGUCAUGAUAACAAUGAAGAUCAUCAACUAGAUCGCUUUAAAGUGAAGGAAGUGCAGUGCAUAAACUGUGAAAAAAUUCAACAUGCCCAACAGACUUGUGAAGAAUGUAGCACAUUGUUUGGAGAAUAUUAUUGCGAUAUAUGCCAUUUGUUUGACAAAGAUAAGAAGCAGUAUCACUGUGAAAACUGUGGAAUUUGUAGGAUUGGUCCAAAGGAAGAUUUUUUCCAUUGUUUGAAAUGUAACUUAUGCCUAGCUAUGAAUCUUCAAGGAAGACACAAGUGUAUUGAAAAUGUGUCCCGACAGAAUUGUCCAAUAUGUUUGGAGGACAUUCACACAUCCCGUGUUGUUGCUCAUGUCUUGCCAUGUGGACAUCUUUUACAUAGAACGUGUUAUGAAGAAAUGUUGAAAGAGUGAGUGUUUGGGAUUUUAAAAAUAAUUAGGCUACAGAUGUCCAUUAUGUAUGCACUCUGCUUUAGAUAUGACCAGGUAUUGGAGACAGCUGGAUGAUGAAGUAGCACAGACUCCUAUGCCAUCAGAAUAUCAGAACAUGACUGUGGAUAUUCUCUGCAAUGACUGUAAUGGACGAUCCACUGUUCAGUUUCAUAUAUUAGGCAUGAAAUGUAAGAUUUGUGAAUCCUAUAAUACUGCUCAAGCUGGAGGACGUAGAAUUUCACUGGAUCAGCAAUGACGAGCCUACACAGUACUGGAGAACUUGGCAUUUUCUGAUAUAGAAAAAGGCUUUCCUUGGUAUCGUGUUAUCAUGUGUCGUCAUCUAUGCAUUAGAGUUGAUGUGUUUUGUACUAGUGUCACAGCAUAAAAUCAUAUUACAAGUACGUAAGGAUUCAGGGUCUCUUGAUAGACUUAUCAUAGCUCUAUAUUGAAUGAAAGCCACUGUGCUUGUGUUUUGAUUGGAAAUUCCUUUAGUGUCAGUUUUUUGGAAGCCAAUGAUGUUUGCCACUGAUACAUUCAUAGAAGUGUAUUAUAUUUUCAUGAAGCUUUGCUUUAAGUGACACUACGCGUGCAGUUCAUUUCUAGUUCUUGAUAGAACUGCACUUAAUUUUCAGUAGUAGUCUUGACUUUUUAAGGGCUGUGUUAUAUUAAGUUCUCCCUUACUGUUAAAACCUAAUUAAAUAUGCUUUAGAAUUUUCUAAGACAGUCCUCUGGAUCCUCUAAAUGUGAAUUUUGAUGUAAUAACUGCUAAUAAAAUUAUAUUGAAACUGUUUUAUAGAAAGUUUUUUCCAAAGUUUUCUAUGUUUGGCUCAAUUAGGGCAGUAUCAUCAGUUCUAUAAUGUAAAAGAAAUUUUCUUUCUUUUGAGGUAUUCCAUAAAAGUAGUUGGGAAAAUUAUUAUGUAAAAUAAUAAGACUCUUCCAAAGCCUUAAUAAAAACAUCAACAUUGAAAACAGUUUUUUUUAGGUUGCCCAAAAUUAUUUCUUCAAAGAGUCAUUCAUUCCUUCAUUUAGCAAGUAUUUAUUGAGCAACUGCUAUGUGGCAGAUAUGUUUCUAGAUGCUGUAGAGACAACAGUGAACAAUAAAGAUAAAAGUCCUUGUCCUCACAGCAGUACAUUCUAUUGUUCAUCAUAUUUGAUCAAUGUACUCAUUUUUCUUUAUGCAAGGAGUGGAUGUCUUAUUGUAAAUGAAUAGAAUAUUUCUUCCCUAAGCGUGUGAAAAUAGGGGAUGGAUGAGUGGGAAGGGCAUGGGAUAUUCCUGGCAAGAUCUCUGAUUUCAUAAUACUUUUUUGGGCUCAUGUAGUGGAAUUAAAUAUACCUCUUACUUCAGGAACAAAGUUAACAAAUAUGUUUGAUGAUCCAGCCGACUUUGACACUGUUAUCUCCGUAAUAGCUUUACCAUUAGGCUAGGAUGUAAAAUGUACAUUUAUCAGUUGAUAAGUACCUAUUGAGCACCAGUUGUAUUUCCAACUUUGAGCUAUUUGAAUCUUCUUUGAAUAAGGAAGUUAGCCUUUUAACUAGAAAGCCUAAGAGUUCUGGCACAUUUAUUUCUUCUUUUGUUGAAAUUUAUUCACCUAGAUAAAGGCAGCAGUUUGGGACUCAGAUCUUUAUUUUAUCCCACCUUCUUGUCUUCUGUAUUCCACUCUUCUUAUGUUCUUUCCCUUCAUCUGUUUCCUUGGCCUGGCCAGAGCAGCAGUGCUGAUCUUCAUUUGGGAAAGGAUGUUCCUGGGUAUUACCAAUUAGUAUACAGAUAAGUAAAGACUAGUUUUCCAGAUCUAAUACUUUUUUUUGAAGUGGUUUUGCUCUGUCAUUUAGGCUAGAGUGUAGUGAAGUGAUCGUAGCUCACUGCAGCCUUGACUUCCUGGGCUGAACUGAUCCUUCCACCUCAGCCUCCUGAGUAGCUGGGACUACAGGUGUGUGCCACCAUGCCCAGCUAAUUUUUAAUUGUUUUGUAGAAACAAAGUCCAGGCUGGUCUUGAACUCCUGGGCUCAAGCAUUUCUCCUACCUCGGCCUUCCAAGGGCUAGGAUUACAGGCAUGAGCCACUGUGCUUGGUCCAGAUGUAUUACUUUUUAUGUUUGGUAUUAUUCUGCCAAACCAAUCAUGUUAUUGUUUUUAAUCAUUGAAUCAUUGGAUCUUUAAAUAGGAGUGAGUAUAUAAUAAUAAGGCUCUUCUGUUUUCAACAUCUGUGCUGGGUCAUGCAUUAGCAUUAAUUACUACAAUGAUUCUGUGGGGUAAGUGUUGUCCUCAUAGACAAGAAAGCUGAGGUUUAGAGGUUAAAAUGACACAUUGGGGGUAAAUAACAGACACUAUAUGUUGGAGUUGGGAAUCAGAUCCAAGUUUGACUCCAAACCCACUUUUACCACAUUGCUUUUGAUCUAAACUUCUAUUUUGCUAAAAUACCCCUCACAGCUAGUCAUCCAUAUCAUUGAAGCGCUCAUGAUUUGAUAGAUUAACCUUUCAUUUUUUUAGGUGACUCUAGUUAGAAAGUCUUAUUUCACAAUCUGAUUGUUUCUUUAACUUAGGAUCCAAACAUGUCCAAAAUAAUGCAGAGUACAUAUGCAAUCACUCGUUUAUGCUGUCUAGUCAUGCACUUAAAGCAAUUUUCAAAUGUACUCAAAGUCUCUAGGCUUCGGUACCCAGGGUUGCUUCAAGUAUUUGUUCAUGACACGUCAACUCGAUGAUUAAAAUCCUUCAACACUUCUCAUUCACAAUAAGAAUAAAAUCUACAUCCCUUACCAUUCAGUAUGCAAAACUUAAAAUACAUAACUUUACCCUUAAAUAUUUUUUCUUUCUCUGACUUCAUAAGUAUAGGUUAUACCUCUAUAAGAAAGAAGGUAAAAAACUCUCAACAAUCCCUUCUUUCAGAGAGAACUACUGUUAACAUUUUAACAGACAACUUCAUUCUUUUCCUAUUCUUUUUUAUAAUGCUUACAGGAAUGUUAAAUACUUAGACAGAUCUUAAGUACACUAGAAUUAUCUGUCCCUGAAAUAAGUUAGGUUGCCCUGCCGCAGAAUUUGUAUCUAUAGUUUAUUUGGAUUAUUUUUGAAAAAAGUAAAAUAACAAUACCCUUACGAAUUUUUUGGUGCAUAGCAUCUCAGCUUCUUUUAUCAUUAAAGAUGUAUGUAUAAAAAAAAAAUGAGUGUAUAUCAAGUUGUUCAUUUCUUAGUUUCUGGGGUCUUCUUAACCAGUACAUAGAACUCUUUAUGAAUUAACUUUAGCUUAUGUUGGAAGUAGUAGUUUGUUUAUAGUGUCAUGGAUUUUAAAAUCAAACUCAGUUUUUAUUUCUUCACUAAAACCUAUUUUCAUAUGAUAUACAUGUUAAAUUUCCCUUUUAUUUUGGUCAUGCAUCAAAAUAAAUUUACUAAGUACUAAAGAGCCAACAUUAUUUUAUAAGUGCCUGGCAAUAGGUAUUCACUAGUUGAAUAGUUUAAUUUGAAAUGAAUUAAUUUUAAAUGGGAGUUGUUCAAAACUAUGCCACUUUUUCUUUUGUCCUUUGUGUUAUUAAAAUUUAAUUGAUAAUUGUGUAUAUUAUAUAUAUGGAGUACAAUGUGAUGUUUUGAUAUAUGUUUACAGUGUAGAAUGAUUAAAUCAAUGUAAUAAAUUUAUUGCCUCAUACCAUUUUUUGUGGUAAAAAAACCACUUAAAAUCUACUCUUAAUAUUUUUGAAAUGUACAAUGCAUUAUUUAUUAUACUCACCAUUCUGUGUAAUAGAUCAGUAAAGUUUAUUCCUCUUGUCUAA